This 430-nucleotide unclassified non-coding RNA is filed under the name Hevea brasiliensis (rubber tree). Lineage: Eukaryota; Viridiplantae; Streptophyta; Magnoliopsida; Malpighiales; Euphorbiaceae. The record is from RNAcentral.
AUUUCCAUUUUAUUUACUUGCAAAAAAAAGGCAACAAAAAUGGGAACAGUAAAAAAUAACUAAACCAAAAACGCAUUAAAGAACAUGUAUAUAGGAAUUGUCUCAAUGUGUACUUUCAAGAGAAUGAUGUAUCCGACUUAAAAUUACCGACUCGGACUCAUUUGACCUAGGCAUCAAAGGCCCAGAUGCCUUGGGGGAACCAUCCGAAAAAAUUACAGGACCACAUAUAGCAUCACCAACCCCCUGCCCUUCUUCAGCACAAUCGAAUGUAUUAUUACAACCUUCCAUCUGUUUAUCUUCUGAAUUCACUAUCUCAUUUGACUGCCUAUCUACCUUAUCACCAUUGAAAAUCAUCGUGGGCUUUUCUGGGAUAUCAUGACUAGCAGCUUGACUGGCCAAUGCCAACUUCGGGUUAGAGGCAUGAGCAUGA